RNAcentral lists this ribosomal RNA (253 nucleotides) under uncultured bacterium. Its description in RNAcentral is "partial 16S ribosomal RNA". It matches the Rfam family "Bacterial small subunit ribosomal RNA", at positions 524 to 776 of the family's 1533-position model. The record is from RNAcentral.
UACAGAGGGGGCAAGCGUUGUUCGGAAUUACUGGGCGUAAAGGGCGCGUAGGCGGCCUUCUAAGUCGAACGUGAAAUCCCCGGGCUCAACCCGGGAACUGCGUCCGAUACUGGAAGGCUUGAAUCCGGGAGAGGGAUGCGGAAUUCCAGGUGUAGUGGUGAAAUGCGUAGAUAUCUGGAGGAACACCGGUGGCGAAGGCGGCAUCCUGGACCGGCAUUGACGCUGAGGCGCGAAAGCCAGGGGAGCAAACGGG